CCCCCAGGGUUAGCUGCCCGUGGCUGGUGAGCACCCAGUCCGCAGGCACAGGAGCGCACCUCGCUGGUCAGGGGCGCACCAGGCUGGGGACACUUCUCCUCACCAUCAUGGGCACAGCCCUGUGCUGAAUGCCGGUGCCAACCAGCUGGGAUUGAGGAAACAGGAAACCCGGGGAGUCGUUGGCACAGCAAAUGCCAUAGGGGUGCUGCUCUGGCUCCAGCUGACGGGAGGAGUAGGAUGGCGAUGUCAAUGCCUCGUCUCUCAAUUGCUGACCAAACUAGGAAGGGAAAAAAAGCCAUUUCAGUUCCAUUCAGUUCCAUCAUUUGGAUGGAAACUCUUCCUGUUCCAUUUUCAUACGAUUUUAAAGGCUAAAAUAGUAAGCAAAUUGGGAAAGAAAACAAUGUUUUAAGAUAAAAAAAUGGAAUGCCUACCUUUGAAAUACUCACAUAAAAUAUUUGAUUUUUUUUUUUUUUUUUCAGUAGAAGUUAUUCUUCACGUUCAGCCAAAUUUGUGAAUUUGGUGUUUCUGUGUCAGCGACGUGCACUGGCUGUGGUGGUGGCUGUGUGCAAGGCAUGCCUCGUGCACUUUUCUCAGCUUUCUGACAGAACUUUCCUCUUCUUGAAACUUAUACUGAAAGGCCCACAUGGAUUUUGAAGUGAAAAUGCCACUUGUGUGCUCAGGCCGUGCCUCUAAUGUGUUUGAUAGCGGCUUCUAAUAGAGAUGCGCAUUAAUGAAAUCUAUACUUUCAAGGUGGGAAGCUAUUUUUCUUGAGAACCCACCCCAAAUCCGUGGC
This 793-nucleotide long non-coding RNA is filed under the name Anas platyrhynchos platyrhynchos (common mallard). RNAcentral's name for it is "lncRNA (ENSAPLG00000030627.1)". The record is from RNAcentral. Lineage: Eukaryota; Metazoa; Chordata; Aves; Anseriformes; Anatidae.